This 378-nucleotide unclassified non-coding RNA is filed under the name Hevea brasiliensis (rubber tree). The record is from RNAcentral. Lineage: Eukaryota; Viridiplantae; Streptophyta; Magnoliopsida; Malpighiales; Euphorbiaceae.
GUGUUGUUGAUCAAUGUAUAAUUCCUUAAAAUUUGGAAUACAUAAAGUCUGGGCAUAGUUGCAGAGAACAGUAAAAGAUAGGUGUUUUGCCAAAAUUCUGCAUAAGAAUUGCUUUGCAGGGUGCAUAUUCUUCCUGCAAAUAGCUUGCUUGUGCUUAGUAGCUCACAGUUUCUCUGAAAUGGUUAGGAGCAUAUUUACUUUACCUUUCUCACUGCUUAAAUUAUUGACAAGUUACUUAUCAAUAUCUGUUGUAGUUUCUGGUAUUUCUGGGUUUUGAGGCUUUGAGCAUCUGUUCUUCCUACAGUUUUUAGCUAAAAUCCUUAAUAUUUCUAAUGCAAUCAACAGUUAACCCUGAAGUUUUGAGCUUCUGAAAUAUAA